This 414-nucleotide ribosomal RNA is filed under the name uncultured microorganism. RNAcentral describes it as "bacterial SSU rRNA". It matches the Rfam family "Archaeal small subunit ribosomal RNA", at positions 330 to 745 of the family's 1478-position model. The record is from RNAcentral.
GCGCACCAGGCGCGAAAACUUCACACUGUGCGAAAGCACGAUGAGGGAAUCCCAAGUGCUUGCACGUAAGUGUAAGCUGUUUCUCUGUCUAAAACGCAGAGAGAGUAAGGGCUGGGUAAGACGGGUGCCAGCCGCCGCGGUAAUACCUGCAGCUCAAGUGGUGACCGUUAUUAUUGGGCCUAAAACGUCCGUAGCCGGUUUAAUAAAUGCCUGGGUAAAUUGUGUAGCUUAACUAUACGAAUUCCGGGUAGACUGUUAAACUUGAGACCGGGAGAAGUUAGAGGUACUCCUGGGGUAGAGGUGAAAUUCUGUAAUCCUAGGGGGACCACCAGUGGCGAAGGCGUCUAACUAGAACGGGUCUGACGGUGAGGGACGAAGCCCUGGGGCGCAAACGGGAUUAGAUACCCCGGUAGU